UACGUAGGGGGCAAGCGUUGUCCGGAAUUAUUGGGCGUAAAGAGCUCGUAGGCGGUUCGUCGCGUCGGCUGUGAAAACCUGAGGCUCAACCUCAGGCCUGCAGUCGAUACGGGCGGACUUGAGUACUGCAGGGGAGACUGGAAUUCCUGGUGUAGCGGUGAAAUGCGCAGAUAUCAGGAGGAACACCGGUGGCGAAGGCGGGUCUCUGGGCAGUAACUGACGCUGAGGAGCGAAAGCGUGGGGAGCGAACAGG
This 253-nucleotide ribosomal RNA is filed under the name uncultured bacterium. RNAcentral's name for it is "partial 16S ribosomal RNA". It matches the Rfam family "Bacterial small subunit ribosomal RNA", at positions 524 to 776 of the family's 1533-position model. The record is from RNAcentral.